Molecule: ribosomal RNA, 490 nt
Filed under: uncultured bacterium
Lineage: Bacteria
Description: partial 16S ribosomal RNA
Rfam family: Bacterial small subunit ribosomal RNA
Source: RNAcentral
GAUGAACGCUAGCGAUAGGCUUAACACAUGCAAGUCGAGGGGCAGCAUGGUCUUAGCUUGCUAAGACUGAUGGCGACCGGCGCACGGGUGCGUAACGCGUAUGCAACUUGCCUCACAGAGGGGGAUAACCCGUCGAAAGACGGACUAAUACCGCGUACACUCCAUCUUGGGCAUCCAAGGUAGAGGAAAUGAAAUUCGCUGUGAGAUAGGCAUGCGUCCCAUUAGCUAGUUGGUGGGGUAACGGCUCACCAAGGCGACGAUGGGUAGGGGAACUGAGAGGUUGAACCCCCACACUGGUACUGAGACACGGACCAGACUACUACGGGAGGCAGCAGUGAGGAAUAUUGGUCAAUGGGCGAGAGCCUGAACCAGCCAAGUCGCGUGAAGGAUGACUGUCUUAUGGAUUGUAAACUUCUUUUAUACGGGAAUAACAAGAGUCACGUGUGACUCCCUGCAUGUACCGUAUGAAUAAGCAUCGGCUAACUCCGUG